RNAcentral lists this long non-coding RNA (14125 nucleotides) under Homo sapiens (human). RNAcentral's name for it is "non-protein coding lnc-CHRNA7-4:2". The record is from RNAcentral. Lineage: Eukaryota; Metazoa; Chordata; Mammalia; Primates; Hominidae.
GCAAUUUUUUCCCCUCCAGUGAGGAGAUACUAGGGAAGGCCUCUGGGUUCACAGCCAAAUUGCCUUAAUGGUUUGCCUGCUGUCCAGCGAGACCCAGCAGAGCGAGCGGGACGGCGGUGCGCCGGGCCGCGGGGACCCACGCAGUCACAGCUCCGGUGCCCGGCGAGCGGCCUCGCGCGCGGCUCGGGGCCGGGCCCUGCCCGGCCGUCUGCAAGAGCCGCGGGACCCCCGACGCGCGCGCACGGACCGAGGGGUCGGUCGCCCCACGCCUGGCAUCACGUUCCAGUGCGGACAGCCAAAGGGCUGAGCGGAGGCAGCAGCCCCGACCCAGCGGUAGCGCCGCGCCCUGCCCGAGAGAGGCGCGCCACGCCGGGCCGGAGCCGGUGGCCCGGGAGCCCGCGGGGUCCGGAGCGGAGCCCGCAAUGCAGACGCGCCGGCGAGCCCAGCCGGGGCCCGCGCCCCCCGCGUCCCCGCGCCCCGGCCCCGCGGUCGCCCGGCCUCAACGCCCACCUGCCUCGCCACGGAGCUCGGGAAGGAGACGGCGCCGGCCCCGCGCCCGGAGAGCGCACCUGCCUGGUCCGCGGGCCCGGCCCCGCCGCCCGCCGGCAGCACCGCGGCCAGCGCCGUCUUACCUGCCGCGCCGCGCCGCUCCGCUCCGCCAGCCCGCAGCGCCGCAGUCGCCGCUACCCGACUUCCAUUUUCUCUCGCUUUAAAGGAAAACCAGAUCAGCUGUUUUGCUCCCGCUCGGGCUCCGCGGCCCCCUCCCCAGCUGCCGCUCGCGGUCCCGGUGGCCUCUCCUCCCCCGCCUCCUCCCGCGCUCCGCUCCGCCCCUCGCGCCCCUCCGCUCCGCCCGCGGCCGCGCACAACGCCCGCCUCCCGGCUCCGCCUGCUGCCUCCGGGCGCGCGCCCUCCUCUGACGUCACCGGUCGCGUUCGCGCCCCGCCCCCGCCCCGCGCGGACGUGCGCGCGCCGCGCCUGUGCCCCGCCCCCGCCCCUCCGGGGCCGGGCACGGAGAGCGCGUGCUCGCGGCCGCGAGCCGAGGAGGGGACGUACAGCGCCCGCGCGCCCGCGAGCCCGCUCCGGCUCUCCCAUGCUUGCCCCUCGGGGUGCUCCUUCUGCGCUCUCCGCCUGGACUGCAGGAAAAGGCUGCUUAAACAGCCUGCCUUUUCCUGCUGCCUGACUCGCGCCAUCUGCGGCCACCUGUCUCGUUUCUUCCCCCUGGCUGGCGCACCCUUCCUUCCUAAACAUCCCAAACUUUCUCCCACCCAGGCUGUCCAGGCUGCAGUUUCUACGCCCUGCGCUGGGGCCUGUGCAUCACGCCUAAUCCAAAGCUGGUCCUUUUACCUCCCAAAAAGGUUCUCUGACCUUUUCCCAUUUUUUGCCUUCCUCUAAAGACUUUUUCACGCCACCCCUUCAGAUGGUUCCCCUCCCUGAUGGCAAGACCUGCUCGCUGCUCUGGGCCCUUCUCACGUCACCCUGUAGAUGUAGUCACGCUUCCUUAUCCCAAACAGGACGUUAUAUUGCAGAUGACCCAUACCAUCCUGGUGUACUUCUAAACAAUCAUUAUUUUACUUUUAGUUUAGGACUUUUUGCUUGACUUUAAACAUUGUAUAUGUUUAAUAGUGUUUAAUAAUUUAUUUGACUUUUAAAAUUGAUAUUCAGUAAAAUUGGUUAUUUGAUAUAUAAUCCUGUGAUCUUGAACCCUUGUUUGGAUUCAUGUAACCACUAGCGCAAUAAAGAGCUCCCUAGUUCUGCCCUUUUAUAACAGCGCCCCCGCCAACCCUAACUUUUGGUAACCACUGAUAGGUUCUCCAUUGCUACGGUUUUGUCUUUGUGAGUGUGUCGUAUACAUGGAAUUACGCAAUAUGUAACAUUUUGAAACUGACUUUAUUCCCUCAUCAUUAUACCUUGGAGAUUCAUCCAUGUUAUUGUGUAUAGUAAUAGUCCUUUUUAUUGUUGAGGGGAGUCUCAUUAUUUGUACCACAUUUUGUUUAGUCACCCACUGGAGAAUAUUUGCGUGGUUUCCAGUUUUUGGCGACUGUGAAUAAACAUUCUAUAAACAUUUGCAUGCAGCGUUUUGUACGGACAAAUUUUUUAAAUUAGUUGACUAAAUAUCUAGGAGUGCAAUUGCUAGAUCUUAUGGUAAAUUUGUUUAACUUUAUAAGAACCAAACAGUUUUCUAGAGUGGCUAUAGCAUUUUUAUAACUGUCAGCAAAUAUGAAUCCCUUUCCUUCAUCCUCACCAGCACUUGAUAUUGGCUAUCUUUAUCUAUCUAUCUGUCCAUCCAUCCAUCCAUCCGUCUAUCAUCUAUAAUUUUAGACAUUCUAGUAGGCAUAUAGUGCUAUAUCGUUGUUAAUUUUCAAUUUUCUACUGAAAAAUUAUGUGGAGCAACUUUUCAUAUGCACCUGUAUAUCUUCUUUGGUGAGAUGUUUGUUCACAUCUUUUGCCCAUUAAAAAAAAAAGGUUGUUUUCUUAUGGUUGAGUUUUAAGAGUUCUUUGUGUAUUUUGGAUAGAAGUACUUUAUCUGAUACGUGUUUUGCAGGUAUUUUCUUCCAGUGGAAGCUUGUCUUUUCAUUCUCUUAACAGUCCUGUCCUGAAUUUAGGGGAAGUAUCCAGUUUCUUACCACUAAAUAUGAUGUUAGCAGUAGGAUUUUUUUAGUUCUUCUUUAUCAAGAUUAGGAAGUUCUCUCUAUUCCUAGUUUGCAGAGUUUUUAUCAUGAAUGAAUGUUGGAUUUUGCCAAAUUCGUUUUCUGCAUCUAUUGAUACGGUCAUGUGAUUUUAUUUUCUUUAGCUUGUUGAUAUGAUGGGUUACAUUGAUUUUCAAUUGAUUUUCAAGGAACCGGUCUUGCAUACUUGGGUCAAAUUCUACUUGGGCAUGGUAUAUAAUUGUUUUUAUACACCAUUGUAUUCAAUAUGCUAAUAUUUUGUUGAAGACUUUUGCAUCUAUGUUCAUGAGAAAUAUUUGGCUAUAGUUUUCUUUUUUGUAAUGUCUUUAAUUUAUUUUGGUAUGCCGGUAAUGCUGGCCUCAUAAAAUGAGUUAAGAAGUAAUAUUUACUUGUAUUUUCUGUAAGAAAUUGUAAAGAACCUAUAUCAAUUCUUCCAUAAAUGUUUGGUAAAAUUCCCUGGUGAAACCAUCUGAAUCUGGUGAUUUUUUUGAGACUUCAUUAAUUAUUGAUUCUUUGUGGAUACAGAGCUAUUAGGUGAUCUGUUUGCUUUUCUGUAAAAUGUAGUUGUAUCAUUCAAGGAAUCGGUCCUUUUUAUCUAAUAUUCAAACUUGUGGGUGUAAAGUUGUUCAUCAUAAACCUUUAUUAUUCUUUUAACAUCUAUGAAAUUAGUAGAGAUGACGCCUCUUUCAUUUUUUGAUAUUGGCAAACUAUGCCCAAUGUCUUUUUUUCUUGGUUAACCUGGACAGGUUUAUUAAUUUUAAUCAUCUUUUCAGCUUUUUCUUUGUUUUGUUGAUUUUUUUCUAUUGUUUUCUAUUUUCAAUUUCAUUCUCUAAUUUUUAUUAUUCCUCUUUGUUCUGCUUGUUUUAGGCUUAAAUUGCUCUUCUUUCUCUAUUAUCCAAGGUGACAAUUUAGGUUGUUGAUUUUAGAUUUUUCUUCUUUUCAAAUGUAUACAUUUACUGCUAUAAAUAUCCCCGCUUUUACUGCAUCCCACAAAUUUAGAAAAGUUGUACUUUAAUUUUUAUUUAGAUCAAUGUUUUUAGUUAUUCUUGAGAUUCCUCUUUGACCCAAAUGUUUUUUAAAAAUGUGUUGUUUAGUUUCCAAUAAUUUGGGACUUUCCAGCUAUCAUUCUGUUCUUGAUUUCUAGGUUACUUCCAUUGUGGUAUGAAGACAUACUUUGUUUAAUUUCUAUUUUUCUUUAAUUUGAUAAGGUGUGUUUUAUAGAUCAGAAUGUGGCCAAUGUUGGUGAUUAUUCCAUGCCAGCUUGAGAAGAAUGUGUAUUGUGCUAUUGCUAGAUCUACAAAUAUCAAUUAAAUAAAGUUGAUAAUGCUGUUUAGGUCAAUUAUAUCCUCACCGAUUUUUUGCCUAUCUGAUCUUAUCAAUCAUGGAUAGAGAAAUGUUGAAGUAUCCUAUGAUAGUGGAUUGGACCAUUUUUUCUUUCAGGUUUAUCAUUUUUUCCUCACUUAUUUUGACAUUUUAUUCUUAGGCACAUGCAUAUUUAGGGUUAUUAUGUAUUCUUGGAGAAUUAGCCCCUUUAUGAUUAUGAGUUUCUUACCUAUCCCUCCCCUCACAUCCCUGAUAAUUUUCCUUUUUCUCAAGUCCCUUUUAUCUGAAAUUAAUGCAGCUACUCCAGUUUUCUUUUGAUCAGGGUUAACAUGGUAUAUCUUUCUUCAUCCCUUUACUUUUAACCAAACAGAUACUUUAUAUUUAAUGUCAACAAGAUAUAGUGGGGUCUUGUUUUGUUAUCUACUCUAGCAAUCUGUGUCUUUUAAUUGGUGUAUUUAGACCAUUCACAUUUAACACAAUUGUUGAUCUAUUUGGAUGAAUAUCAAUCAUAUUUGUAACUGUUUCCUACUGGUUGCCAGUGGCGGCUUUUUCUGCCUUCUCCGAUUUUAAUUGAGCAUUUUGUGUGGUUCUAUUUUAUCUUCUCUUAAAGAGUAUCAAUUAUACUUUUUAAAGAAUUUUUUAGUGGCCAUUCUAGAGUUUCUUUUUUCUUUGCUUUGCUUUUUUUUUAAGACAAAGUCUGGCUCUAUUGCCUAGGCUGGAGUGCGGUGGUGCCAUCUCGGCUCACUGCAUCCUCUGCCUCCUGGGUUCAAGCCAUCCUCCCAGCUUAGCCCCCUGAGUAGCUUACCAUGCCCAGCUAAUCUUUGCAAUUUUUGUAGAGACAGGAUUUCACCAUGUUGUCCAGGCUGGUCUCAAGCUCGUUAGCUCAAGCAAUCUGCCUGCCUUGGCCUCCCAAAGUGCUGGGAUUACAGGUCUGAGCCAUCAUGUCCAGCCUAGAGUUUCUAAUAUAGAUUUUCUUCUUUUACUAAUGUGUGUUCACCUUCAAAUCAUGGUAUUGUUUCACAUGUAACGUAGAUAUCUUAUAAGAGUGUGUUCCCAAUCCUCCCUCCCAUUCCUCGUAGCAUUGCUGUUAGUCUUUUCUCUUAUCCAUAUGCUACAAUGACCUGUUACUAUUUUUGCUUUAAAUAAGAAGUUAUCCUUUAAAUUAUUAAUGAAAAUAAAAAUAAAAGAUUUCAUUUUACCUCCAUUUAUUGCUUCUCCAACACUUCCUUUCUUAAUAUAGAUCCAAGUUUCUGACCUACAUCAUCUUCCUUCUGUCUGGAGAAAAUCUUUUAACAUUUCUUGAAGGACAGGUCUGAUGGUGAAUUACCUCAGCAAAGCCAGGAGGGACUCUUCUUUGGCUUGCCACUGUGAAACCUGGUGAUGUUGAUGGAGGUCAUGUUCCUGAAGCCCGAAGACAAAGAAAAUGACUCACUGAGGAGCAGUAGAAGCAAUGACGAGGAUGAUGUCACACAUUUGCUUGGUGUCUACUCAGCACUUGUGCUUGACAUCUAUGAUCUCAUUUGGUUCUGAAUCCCCCAGAGUGGUGGGCACUAUUACCAUCUCCAUCUGAUGUAUGAGGAAACUGGGGACACCGUGUAUGGAAGGAUGACCGAAGAUUGGUUAAGACUAAACUCUCAGCUUUGCCGAAAGUAAGACAGCCCAUCAGGAAGGUGAAGAGCCUUGGACAACUGUGCCUCCAUCAGGGCCUUGGUGGAGUGAUUAAUCACCUUACGAAGGAAGACCUUGCCUAACACCAAUUUUCAGAUGAUAUCCCAACAUUCAUGAGAGGUGGAGGGGAGUGUUCCUCCAACUUGACCCAGCAAUCAUCCCAGAGCCCCUGAUGUCAUCACAGCAGCCUGGGCUUGCUCACCCGUGUUGUUGUGAGCCUCAGCGAUGAUGGUGCUGGGUCUGCAGAGUUCUGGCUGCAGGAUGGAGUUGGAAUAUUGUACUCAGUGGAACUGAGCUGGGGCUGAACAAAGGCAAAUCUUCUGCCCUGGGGAUUAGGCAUUCAUCUGUGCCAACUCUCUUAAAUAUUUACAGAUGUGGAUUCGUGACAAUAAAAUUUGUGUAGGUUAUAUUUAGAGAGAAAACGAAGAAACAUCUGAGGAACCCCUGCUGUGUGCCAUGUCCUGUGCUGGAUGCUUUCUCAAGGUACUUCAUCUCAUCUUCACAAGCUUCCUGGGGGCUAUUUUGGAUGCUCCAUUUUAUAGAUGAGGAAACUGAGGCCGAAAGAGAUUAUAUGACUUACCCAAGGCCAUGCAGGUCAAAGUUCUAAAUGAUACAGCCAGGACUCAGCCCUAGGUCUUCUACUCUAAGUCAGGUUUGCUGUGAGUCGUGAAGUGGGUUAAAAUGCAUGUGACAGAAUACCAACAAAAUAGGGUUGGUCAGGAGAUAGGCAGCCUACACUCUAGAAAGUCAGCAGGAACCAAGGUACCUUCUGACUGUCUCCUCUCCCAUCCUAAUCCUCAUCCUCAUCCUCACACACACAAGCUAGAGGCCACAUCUUGUCCAUAUUCCAAACAGAAAGAAAGGGAAGGGGAAAGUCCAAAAAUGGAUGUUCCAGCAAAGUCUGCCCCAGUAUGAGAUUUCUGCUAUUGCCAUAAUAGCUUACCAAAAAUGUAGUCACUUUGAACAAUGCAAAGUUAUUAUUUGAGAGUUCUUAAUGUCAGAAGUCUGACACCGAUCUCAUUGAGCUAAAUCAAUAGAACAAAGGGGCUGCCUUUCUUUCUAGAGGUCCUGGGGGAACAUCUGUUUCUUUGCCAUUUCUAGCUUCUAGAGCCACCUGCAUUCCUUGGCUCAUGGCUCCCAUCUCUCAUCAUCAUAGCCAGCAGUAGGGUGAGUCCUCACACUACAUUUUUCUGAGUGCUUCCAUCAUCACAUCUCUCUCUUUGAACAGAGCCAGAAAAGGUUCUCCACUUUUAAGAACACAUGUAACUAGUUGGGGCCACCUGCAUAAUUCAAGAAAACCUCCCUAUAUCAAGGUCUUUACCCUUAAUCACAUUUGCAAAGUCAUUUUUACCAUAUGAAGUAAUACAUUCUCAGGUUCUAGGCAUUAGGAUGUGGGUUGGGUGGCUGUUAUUCCAAUGGCCACAGCCCUCUUCUAAUAAAGUUUCCCUACAAGCUUCAUGUAAAAUGUCUUGGCCAUAAUAGAGUCGCCAAGUUAUUCCUGCAAGGGAAGCUGGGAAAAGUAAAUUGUUUACUUAACUGGGCACAUUGGCUUCACCAGCAGGGAAGACUGAAUAUUAGGUAAUCUACUUGCUAUUUCUCCUACACAGGCCUAGAGUUACACAAAACGUACUUGGGAGUUAACUUUCUUUUCUAACUCUCUGAAAAGGUUUGUCCUUGGCAACACAUCUCCUUCCCUUUCUUUGGCCCCCAAGUGAUACCUCAUGAUAGAUGUAUCCAUAUACUCACCUAUAAGUGUAUCUAUCUAUCUAUCCCUCUAUCUCUAUAUUUGCAUUAAGUAGACACAGAGAAAAUAUUUGUUGAAUAAAUGGAGAUUUGAUCUCCUAUAUCUCAUGUAUUUAGCCUGAAAAAAAUGCUAAGAUUCUCUUAAUUUCAUAGAACUGUGAUAUAGAUCUGUGAUACAGCAGAAGUAACCCUGCAGUCUAAAGAGAAGAUCUGAAUUCAGUUCUACCUUUGCUGUAUGCUAGCUUGGAUGACAAAAGGCAAAAUGUUUCACUGUCCUUAACUAUGACAUAUAAACAAUGUCUAUCCCAGAAGACAGUUUUAAAAUUAAAUAUACUAAAUGGUACAGAAAAUAUUUCUGAUUCCAGUAAUAUUUUGCUCUGUACAACUUAAAAAUUCUUACAAAGCUCUGUAAAUACUGUAUAAAAUAGAACAGACAUGUUUUAAAUGCAUAGGUGAGCUUUCAACAAGGAAGAAGAAAUCCUUGUGUGAUAGAAUCAAUAAGGCAGCUUAAAAACCAAAAAGGAAGCAUAGAAUGCUGUAGAUAGGUUUCACAUUUUUUCUUCUAAUGUUGAGACCACAUUUUUCUGGGAGUAGACCACUUAUAAGGAUUUAGGUGGGUUUCCCGCAGCAGAGAGCUCAUGUUCUGGGUCUGCUUGGCCAGCCAGAAUGCCCCACCCCAGCUGUCAAGCAUGGGGGAUUACAGAAAAUUCUAGGCCCCACAGGAGGCAGGUUUGAGUACUAGAACUGAGAAUUCUGUAUGAAUGGUAGACCAAAAAAGAACUGUACCUCUAGAAAAGAGUGGCUUAGUAAAGAAAUAUAGUCAUUAACUUAGAAAAUCAACCAGAAAACUUACCUAUCUCUGCUUGGACUCUGGGUAAGAGAAAAAGUUCAACACACAUAUUCAAAGCCAGAACUUGCAUUGCAUGGAUUUGUGGAGAUCAAAUUUGCAAUAACUGUGUCUUUCCAAAGCUCAUAAUCUAAAAAAACUAAUAUAAAAAUAGAUUCCAUGCCAGUUAUAGCCAAAAUCUCUAAGCAGGAGAAAAUCAUAGAACAGUUAUGUAGUAGAUCUUACAGGAGAAAAAUUUACAUGUCAAAGUUAUACCACAUUUAAGGAAAUAAUCCACAGUGAAUGAAAGACAGCAGAAACAAUAUAUAGCAUUAGAGUUCCCUAGGAAUAUUAGAACUGACAAAGACUGUAAAACUCAAUUAGUAUUUAAAAAGCAGAUUUGACACAAUUGAAGAGAGAAAUAAUAAACUGGAGGAUAGGGAACAGGAAAUUACUCAAAUGCAGUAUAAGAAGAUAAAGAAGUGAACAAAAGAUUAAGAAGCACCAAGGACAGAAUGAAUAAAUCUAACAUGUCUACUUGAAGAAAAGGGGAAUAGCAAAAAUGAAAGAGAAACAAUAUUCAAAGGGAUAAUUGUAAAAAUAAUGGAAAAUAUGAAUUUUUAGAUUCAAUAUUCAUAACAGAUCUUGGGACAAAUAAUUUAAAAUAUAUUCAUAUCUGGACAUGUAAUUGGGUCAAAAUUUGUAUAUUAUUUACUGUAUUUACUUUUAUUUAAUGUAAUUCUCAAGCAUUUUCUCAUAUGAUAAAAACAGUUGUCCCACAAUUUUAGUGUCUGUUCAAUAUUCUAAUGUCUCAUGAUUUAUUUACUCACUCACUGAUAUAUAAAUAUUUAUGGAUUUAUCCCUCAAACUAAUAUUUGUAGAGGUAACAUGAUGUUGCUCAUCACUGCAUAGAAAUCUUCAUACAUUCAAAAUUUACUUAGAAUUCUAAAAGCAGAACUAUUAAAUGAUAUAACCUUUUUACGGCUCUUAAAUUUUUUUUCAAACUUCUGGAUUAAUCUGACAAACACUACCUCAGGUGAUAUACAUCGAUAUCAACAGUGAUAAGUCAUUUUGACAGUAUGUGAUGAAUUGAUAUGAUAUGGUGUGAUGAGAAUGACCUGUUACCUACGUGGUUUUCCUCCCAAAUUCAUGUAACUACAAUAUAAUCAUUUCAGUUGAAGCACAUUAUUUAUACUAAAUACCUGACUUGUACUCCUCAAAAUGAUCAAAGUCAUCAAAACUAAGAGAGACGCAGUCUCAUUCUGUCACCCAGGCUGGAGUGCAGUGUGUCAUCUCUGCUUACUGCAACCUCUACCUCCUGGUUUCAAGCAAUUCUCCUGCCUCAGCCUCCCAAGAAGCUGGGAUUACAGGCACCUGCCACCACACCCUGCUAAUUUUAAAACUAAGAAAAUUCUGAUUAACAAUCACAGCCAAGAGAAGCCUAAGAAAACAUGACAGCUGCACAUAAUGUGCUAUCCUGAAUGGGAUCUUGGAAUAUAAAAAGAACAUUAUGUGAAAAUUAAGGAUAUCUGAACAAAGUAUGGGAUAGCUACUAUAAAGACACAUGCACACGUAUGUUUAUUGCAGCACCAUUUACAAUAGCAAAGACUUGGAACCAACCCAAAUGCCCAUCAGUGAUAGACUGGAUAAAGAAAAUGUGGUACAUAUACACCAUGGAAUACUAUGCAGCCAUAAAAAAGAAUGAGUUCAUGUCCUUUGCAGGGACAUGGAUGAAGCUGGAAACCAUCAUUCUCAACAAACUAACACAGGAACAGAAAACCAAACACUGCAUGUUCUCACUUAUAAGUGGGAAUUGAACAAUGAGAACACAUUAACACAGGUAGGGGAACAUCACACACCGGGGCCUGUUGAUGGGUGGGGAGCAAGGGGAGGGAUAGCGUUAGGACAAAUACCUAAUGUAGAUAACGGGUUGAUAGGUGCAACAAACCACCAUGGCACAUGUAUACCUAUGUAACAAACCUGCACGUUCUGCACAUGUAUCCAAGAACUUAAAGUAUAAUUUAAAAGAAUAAUAAUGUAUAGCUCAGUGUAAAGCCAUCUGGGCCUGGGCUUUCUUUGUGGGAAGAUUUUUAAUUACUAAUUUAAUAUUUUCCCUUGUUAUAGGUCUAUUAAGAUUGUCAACUUCUUCUUGAGUCAGUUUUUGCAGUUUGUGUCUUUCAGGAAAUUUGUUUAUUUCACUAAUGUUAUCUAAUUUGUUGGCAUACAAUUUUUUCAUGAUAUUCUUUUGUAAUUCAUUUUUAUUUCUAUAAGGUCAGUAGUAAUGUCCUCUUUUUUGUUUCUGAUUCUAUCAAUUUAAGUCUUCUCUUUUUAAAAAUUCUGAUCAAUCUAGCUAAAGUUUUGUCAAUUUUGUUGAUACUUUGAAAGAAUUAGGGUUUGGUUUCAUUUAUUUUCUCUAUUGUUUUUCUUUUCUGUAUUUUAUUAAUUUCCACUCUAAUUCUUAUUAUUUCCUCCUGAUAUGGUUUGGAUAGUUGUCCCCUGCAAAUCACGUGUUGAAAUGUGAUUGACAUUUCACAUGUGAAAUGACCCCCAGUGUUGGAGGUGGGACCUAGUGGGAGGUGUUUGGGCCAUGGGGUCAGAUCCCUCAUAAAUGGCUUGAUGCCCUCCCUGUGGUAAUGAGUUACCAGGAGAUCUGAUUGUUAAAAAGAGUCUGGGACCUCCCUCCUCUCUCUUGCUCUCUCUCAUCAUGGGAUGUGCCUACUUCCUCUUUGCUUCCUCCAUGAUUAUAAGCUUCCUGAGGCGCUCACCAGAAGCCAUGCUGGUGUCCUACUUCACAGCCUGCAGAACUGUGAGUCAAGUAAUUUUCUUAAAAAAUUACCCAUCCUCAGGUAUUCUGUAGAGCAAUGCAAAAUGGAUUAACACAACUGCCUUAUGCUUGCUUUAGGUUUAGCUUGCUCCUCUUUUUUCAGUGUCUUAAAAUGUAAGUUUAGGUUACUGAUUUGAUAACUUUUUUCUUAAUAUAGACAUUUGCAGCUCUAAGUUUCCCUGUGUUAUAUGAUACUGCUUUUACUGUGUCAUAUAACUUUUGAUAUGCUUUGCCUUCUUUUUCAUUCAUAUCAAAGUGUUUCCUAAUUUUUCUUUUUAUUUACUUUUUGACCCAUUGACUAUUAUAAUAGCGGUACUCCCCAAACUGAUCUACAGAUUCAAUUCAUUCCCAAUCAAAAUCCCAACAGCCUAUUUUGCAGAAAUAAUAAGCUAAUUCUUAAAUUCAUAUGGAACUGCAAGGAACCAGAACAGUCAAAACAAUCUUGAAAAAGGAGAAUAAAGUAGGAGAAGUCACACUUCCUGAUUUCCAAACUUACUACAAAUCAAGAGUAACUAAGACAAUGUGAUACUGGCACAACGAUAUACAUAUUUAUCAAUGCAAUGGAAUUGAGAGUAGAAAUAAACUCAGAUAUCUAUGGUCAACUAACUUUCAACAAAGGUCUUAAGACUAUCCCACGGGGGAGGAAUAGUCUUUUCAACAAAUGUUGUUGGGACAACUGAAUAUUCACAUGCAAAAUACAAUUUUUAAGAAUCUAUGAUUAAAGGUGGAAAAAAAUAUUGGGCUAGAGGUCAUAAGAUUUAAAGUUUAGCCUUGGCACUGCCAGUAAAUAAGAGUGUAACUUUGGAACAAUUAUUGUACCUCUUUAGGCCUCUAUGAGGGUUUUGGAGCAAGUAACAUGGCUGCUCAGGUCCUAUCCACAUCCAACCUCUUCUUAGCCUGUGAUGACUGUAUCUCAUGAGCUGUGAUGAUGUAGUGACAGAACAGGUGGCGCACCUUGGUCCAAAGCCAAGAAUACCAUUUUCACAUAUUCAGCACUUUGCCCCACCAUCUGAUGCUACUUGGCCUCCUUUGCCUGACCCUAGAUCCUAGAGCAUUCCUCCAGGGAUAGGCAUUUGAUAUGGUUAGACUUCGCGUCCCCCCCCAAACCUCAUCUUGAAUUGUAAUCCCCAGGUAUUUAGGGAGAGACCUGGUGGGAAGUGAUUGGAUUAUGGGGGCGGUUCCCCCAUGCUGUUCUUAUGAUAGUGAGUGAAUUCUCAGGAGAUAUGAUGGUUUUAGAAAUGCUAGUCUUUCCUGUGCUGACUCAUUCUCUCUCUUGCCACCCUGUGAAGAGGCGCCUUCCGCCAUGAUUAUAAGUUUCCUGAGGCAUCCCCAGCCAUGUGGAACUGUGAGUCAAUUAAACCACUUUCUUUAUAAAUUACCCAGUCUUGGGUAUUUCUUCAUAGUAGCAUGAGAAUGGACUAAUACAGCAUUUCAAAGUGUCUCCACAGUAACUACAUUGUAGUUUAUAACUUUGAGCAAUUCCCUCAUGUAGCCCUGUUAUGUGAUAGAAGGCUUUUAUUUACUUAUUUAUUUAUUUUUCCAGGCUGUAAGGCACAGAAUGAGCCUUGUUCAAGUGACUAUAAGGUGAAAAGUUUUAUGUGAAAAUAUUGGUACAUAUGGAGAAACACAGGGUGUGUGAUCAGCAGGGGAUCUGGUCUUCAGGGGAAGUCACAUACCUAUUCAGGAGCCCAUGGAAAGUCCUCACAGAGGGUGGUAGGCCUUGAAUCAGGCCCCUGUGUCUGGCUGGUGGCUCAGGUGUCAAGCCUAGUGUUGUAUCCAGGGUUGCACAGUUCCAUAGCACAAUGUGCAGCAACUCACCAGAAAAAUGCAUCUCAGAAGGGGGCCAAGGGCUUCACUAGACCUUGGAAUCCCAUGGAAUAUCAGAAUGAUGGUGACUCAUAAGAAUAGCCAUUCUGUUUUGAGUAGUCACUUUCCAAACACUAGUUCCAACACUCCCAUCCAUGCAGGAUAUAUGUUACUCUCCCUGUUUUCCAAAUGAAGAAAGAGAGGCUCAGAGAAGUCAAGUGACUUGCUUGGUCACAGCCAGUGGGUUUCACAGUCAGGCCUCUGCCCUGAUGUGUCUGACUUCAAUCCUGGAUAUUUUGCCCUGCACAGUCUAAUCUAUUCUACUCAGACCUUGAUUAUUUUGGACCCAGCAGAUGGUGUAAUAAUGUCUUGUUCUAAGUCAUGAUGCAGUGGAGUGAGUUGUUAUGGCCUGAGUUGUGCCCCCUUCCCCACAUUCUUAUGUUGAAGUACUAACCUGCAGUGUGACAGUAUUUGGAGAUAGGGCCUUUAAAGAGGUUAAUUAAGGUUAUAUGAGGUCAUAAGGUGGGGCUCUAACACAAUAGGACUGAUGUCCUUAUAAGAAAAGGAAAAGACAACAGGGCUGCAAAUGCACAGGGAGAAGGCCGCGAGAGGACACAGCAAGGAUGCGAUCAUCACAAGCCAAGGAGAGGCCUCAGGAGAAAACAGCCCUACUGAACCCUUGAUCUUGGACUUUCAGCCUCCAGGUUGAGCACCUGGAUUUCUGUGUUGUUUGUUUGUUUUGUUGUUGUUGUUGUUGUUGUUGUUGUUGUUGAGAUAGAGUUUCGCUCUUGUCACCCAGGCUGGAGUGCAAUGGCACGAUCUUGGCUCACUGCAGCCUCCGCCUCCUGGGUUCAAGUGAUUCUCCUGCCUUAGCCUCCUGAGUACUUGGAUUACAGGCGCCCACCACCAUGCCCAGGUAAUUUUUGUAUUUUCAGUAGAGAUGGGGUUUCACCAUAAUGGCCAGGCUGGUCUCAAACUCCUGACCUCAGGUGAUCCACCCGCUUUGGCCUCCCAAAGUGCUGGGAUUACAGGUGUAAGCCACUGUGCCUGGCCUGGAUUUCUGUUUUUUAAGACCCCUACUCUAUGAUAUUUUGUUAUGGCAGCCAGUUCUCAACACUGAGAGAGAGAGUCAGGGUCAAAGAUCUCUGCAGUCCCUUCCAAAAUCUAACGUUGUGUCAGUCGAGAAUGUUUGAACUUUUCAUCUGCUUAGAUCUCUGGACUACAUAAAACUCCUAAUUCCAACGUCUUGUUUAGAACCUAGCGGUUCAC